Planococcus citri (citrus mealybug) is the source of this 419-nucleotide long non-coding RNA. RefSeq lists it as uncharacterized. The transcript is spliced from 3 exons. The record is from RefSeq and is a predicted model, not a curated record. NCBI's taxonomy places the organism in Eukaryota, Metazoa, Arthropoda, Insecta, Hemiptera, Pseudococcidae.
CUACUUGGAGAUGAAUUUUCGUAAAAACGACAGAUACUCGAACUCGGUGAAUCGUGUCUCAGCAACUAUGAAGCUUCGUGUCGAACAAUAAAGAGCAUUUGCGUCGUCGUAAUGCACGGCACACAUAUGUACGUACACUAUAACGUUUUGAUGAAGAUCAAUGUACCAGAGGUGACUUAUGUGUGAGUCCGAGAAAUAUGAAUGCGUUAAAGAUUCAAAACAGGAAGAUUUGAGCAGCAUCGCGUACGUUUCAAGAAGUAGGUAAGCGCGCGAAAUGAUAGGUGUUGCUUUUCGGUCGAAUGUCGUUUGACGAAAAUGCGUCGAAAAUUGAAAUCCAUGAGCAACUUUUGAACUUUCGAGCUUUCGCAAUUCGGCGGUAAUUUUAUCUUCGAUGAUUAUUGAUAAUUCUUGAUCCGUGU